CGAAUGUCUGAGCAUAUGAAACAUUCACGUGGACAGAGGCGGUUUGAACAGUUUCUCCGGAUGUUUCAACAUAUAAUUUUAGCCGUGAAAACUCGCCAGCCUUGUUGCCGAUGACAAGCCCGUCGACCAAUCUCUGAUUGUUGUCACCGCAGAGCGCUUCCUUGAUGUCCUCCAUGGUGGGCCGGGGCUUGUUCCUCAGCAGGGUGUACAUCGACAUCACCAUCCCUGGAGUGCAGAAACCACACUGGGUGCCGUGAGCUUUCGCUAUUCGCUCCUGCAAGUCAGAAGAAAUUUAAAAAAACGUAACAGCCUUUUUCGCUGCAGAUGGGUAACUGGUCACUGUAAACACCGCAAUAGGUGUGCUGGGGAGACGUGUUACCUGAACAGGGUGGAGUUUGGUCCUAGUGCUGCCGACGCCUUCGACCGUCACCACCGCUGCACCGUGCAGGGUGACGAUCGGCUGCAGACAGGCGUUGACCGUGUAGUGCCUGCAUGGGUCAAAGGUCAAGAUACAUAAACUCUUAUUUUUGAGAAAGGCCUUGUUUAAAAAAAUCCAUCUUGUCGUGGAAAGUACAAAAAAAGGAUACAUGACUCUUUCUUGGUGGCCGCUGUAGCUGGACACCAUGACGGUGCAGGCUCCACAGCCUCCAGUGCCACAGCCGUACUUGGUACCAGUCAAACCAGCUGGUGGACAAGAAUGUGAAUGAUAGUUCAAUAAACCCCACCAUACGUACAUUUCAUAAAUGAUUUAUACUACAUAUUAAAUCAAACCAAAUAAACAUUUAUUCAAUUAUGUUUAAACCAUUUUUUAAUUUACUUUAGUUAUAUUAUUUUUUUUAUAUCUCACAUGUAAUUACUUUUAAUUGUACAACGUCAAUUUCUUUUUAAAAUCCAACUAAAUAAUGGCCUUCAAUUGCUCCAAAUAUUCUUCUUAACCUGGUUUAACACAGGUGUUUUUGACUUUACCAACCCCUUCACACGGUAAGCACUAUGGAUAAUAGAGGGAUGAAUGAAGAAUAAAUUAGAAUAAAAAUCAACCUUUUCUCCUCAGAUAGCUGAGCAGCACCUCUUCUGGAUCUGCAUUCUUCUCAAUCAUCUGGAGGAAAGGGAAGGGGGAACAUAGAAGGGAACAAACAAAAGCAAUGAGGGAGGGAAGAGGGUAUAUCAAAUAAGUGAUGAAAACAAGCAGAAGCGGAAUAAUCACAAGUAAAGAAAAGGCUCAUAAACAGAGGAAAACAAAUCACAGAACAACCGCAGCUUUGAAGGAGAGUUGUGCGGGGCAUCAGCCUUCCGUCAGGUGACUUCAGGCAUAUAAGUUUGUAUAUAAUCAGAGGGGCUUUUGGCUAAUUGACACAGUUCAUGUGAAAAUUGAUCACAGUGUGUGACGUGGUGGAACACAGGCUCAUGAGAGUCAGCUGAUUUUUCAAGCACGCUUUUUUUCCCUUUAGAAAUCCAGCAGCUGGCAUAGCUUGGAGGUCAGAGUUCAAUUCCAAGUCAUCCCAAUGUGGGCCCUUGAUGCCAUCUGGCCCCCAACCCUUAAAAAUUAAGCAAGUGACUGCGAGCAGUGUUGCCAGAUACGGCUGAUGGUUUCCAGCCCAAAAAAACCCCAAAAUAUUUGAUCAAUAUCUUGUUCAGUACUAAUAUUUCAACUGCCACGAUACUUUACUGUAUCAUAUUUGAAAGCAAUGCACACAUAAAACAUUCAAGCGAUAAAAAACAGCCAACCGCCACAGUCAGAGUUUUUAGUUGCAUUGCCGCCACCUUCUGGACUGGAGUCUUGCCCCCCAUAUAGAUAAAUAAUGGUGAAAUGUGAACAUCAUCGACACUUGUUUAUAAGGCGACUGAUGUCUUUGUGCAUCUUGCCCUAAUUUCAAUGACAUGAUGACUGUAGGGCAGAGAGCUGAACAAAACAACAACAGCACUCACAAACAACUACCGCUUGUCAUGUGAAAGCAGCAGCCUAAGUAUGACAAUAAACUAUCUAUGCUCCUCUUCACACUCUUCACCUUAAUAACACAGUUGAACAUAUCAACAUUUAGAGAACUUUGUAUAGUCUGGCUGAGCUAUGGAAUCUUGUGAUAUUACCAUAAUGUCCCGAUUGAAAACUACAGCACAGGGAUUCUGUAUUUCACUAAUAUGAUUUUGUAAGAUCUUUCAAUCCAGUAACAACCUGAUAUCUAAACCUUUUCUGUAAUAUGGUAACUGUACAGCAUUGAUCUAAAAUUAUUUCUUUGAGAUGAGUGAGUUUGCAAAAACAAAGUGCACAUUGCCGAUUUGUUCACACAUUAACCCCAAAAAAUAAAAAAAUGCACAAUUGAGAAUGUUAGAAAGAGUUGAAACACAAUGAUUACUCCAUAGCUGGGGAAACUAAAUUUACUGUAACACCACAUAGGCACAUUGAAAAAGUCAAAAAUGUUAAAAGUACAAGUGCAUUCAUCAGUAAUAGUAAAAUGAGCAUUCAUGUAAUAGUGCUCUCGUUGUUUUGAACCUUUUCACAGUUUACACAAUUUCCAUCAUUUACCCUAUUUUUAAAAAAAACAAAAGGCAAUUAAUCAAUUACAGUAAUAGCUAAUUAAUGGAAGUAAAUCUAAAUAGAUUGCUGUUGAAUGCUCUCACCUUUUUUCCAUUGACAAAGAAGAUCAGCUCACGAGACACAGCAUUGAGAUCAGACAUGCUGAUGAGUUUGAAUGUUGAGCUCUGGGUCCCCAGGCUUCACAUUUAUAGACGUGGCGUAGGCACAAAUUGGGGCUGGAAACGUACGUACGCCACUUCCCACGCAUAUGAGACCCCAGCCCUUGAAGUACUGAAUCCUAUGACUUUAUGUCACAUGUUGUCCCUUAGACACGCAAUUGAAAUGGUUACAUAAUUAUUAUCGUUAUGUUACUGGAACAAAGGUCACAUUUUCAAUUAUUCUGUGUUUUUUCAACCUCCCAAUUAAAUGGUAAAUGGAUAAUAUGGACUCUAUUUAUACAGUGCUGUUCUAGUCUUAUUGACCACUCAAAGGGAUUUACAGUGCAAGUCAUAUUCGCCCAUUCACACACCUUCAUACAGUGCCGCUGUUUGCCGUGCUUUCUCUGUCACAUUCACACAUUAUCUCCAUUAAUAUUAAGUGUCUUGCCCAAGGACACCACGGCAUGCCGACUAUGGGACGCUGGGAUCGAACCAGCCUAACAUUCUGGUUAGUGGAUGAGACGACCGACUCCACCUCCUGUGCCUCAUGCCGCCUGAUAUGACACAUUAUACAAGAUGGAAAAGCAACAAAUCCUGCUGAAUCUCUGGAGAGUGUGAAUUGUCAAUAAAUAAUUGUUGCCAAUUGA
Long non-coding RNA from Scophthalmus maximus (turbot), 3317 nucleotides. RefSeq lists it as uncharacterized. The transcript has 2 exons. Lineage: Eukaryota; Metazoa; Chordata; Actinopteri; Pleuronectiformes; Scophthalmidae. The record is from RefSeq and is a predicted model, not a curated record.